This 393-nucleotide ribosomal RNA is filed under the name uncultured bacterium. Its description in RNAcentral is "bacterial SSU rRNA". It matches the Rfam family "Bacterial small subunit ribosomal RNA", at positions 364 to 774 of the family's 1533-position model. The record is from RNAcentral.
UUGGGCAAUGGAGGCAACUCUGACCCAGCCAUGCCGCGUGGGUGACGAAGGUCUUCGGAUUGUAAAGCCCUUUCGGCGGGGACGAUGAUGACGGUACCCGCAGAAGAAGCCCCGGCUAACUUAGUGCCAGCAGCCGCGGUAAUACGAAGGGGGCUAGCGUUGUUCGGAAUUACUGGGCGUAAAGGGCGUGUAGGCGGCCCGCUAAGUCAGGUGUGAAAUUCCUGGGCUCAACCCAGGACGUGCACUUGAGACUGACGGGCUUGAGUCCGGGAGAGGAUGGUGGAACUCCCAGUGUAGAGGUGAAAUUCGUAGAUAUUGGGAAGAACACCCGUGGCGAAGGCGGCCAUCUGGACCGGUACUGACGCUAAGGCGCGAAAGCGUGGGGAGCAAACA